Molecule: RNA transcript, 6662 nt
Organism: Nycticebus coucang (slow loris)
Lineage: Eukaryota; Metazoa; Chordata; Mammalia; Primates; Lorisidae
Gene name: syncytin-2-like
Exons: 5
Source: RefSeq, a predicted model, not a curated record
CCUGUCUUGUCUCCAUUCUUCAUGCCUCUUGCCCCUGCCCAUUCUCACCCCCUCCUCCAGGUAUCCCUGUUGACUGACCCGUGGGCAAGGUCACGUGGUGCCCGCAUAGGGACCUGGAUAUGAGGGAAAAUGGUGAAGAAGCUACUGGAGCUGGAAACACGGGGACCUGACCGCGUAGUAGCCUGCUGUGUUGGAACGAGGAUCUCGGUAACUAUGAGCACCUGGAUGUGGCUACUGCUGGGGAUCUCUCUCCUGAUACAAAAAAAUGAAGGUGGUUUCGAGACAGAGUCUCACUGUACCGCCCUCGGGUAGAGUGCCGUGGCAUCACACGACUCACAGCAACCUCUAACUCUUGGGCCUACGCGAUUCUCUUGCCUCAGCCUCCUGAGCAGCUGAAGUACAUAUAUUUUCUAACCCAUUUCUUGAAAGUCUAUUUCUGAAUACCAUCACAUUGGGAAUUGGGACUUCAAUAUAUGUAUUUUGGAGAGAUGUAAAUAUUUGCUCCACGAUGGUGCAGUCAGCAGGAUUCCUGGGACACGGACUGAAGGGGAAAAAAGGACACUCAGAAGUAAGUGAAGCCUUCAGUAGACAGUGGGAGGAAGUCCCAAAGGGAAACUCCACUCAGAGCAAGUGGGCCAAUCCAGAAUCAAACCUCGCAGAAUAAGUGAGGCCUUUGGUAAAUAAUAAGCAAAGAUAUUUAGGGAAAACAAUGGGUAACUUCCUCUUAGGGGAGACUCAAGAAUUAGAAACUGAGGAAGAAGGUGAUGUUCAAGCAGAAUUUGAAAUUGAGGAGAAUAGUGAAGUUCAGUGGGAACCUGAACCUGAGGAGAAUUGGGAACCAGGAGCAUAGGAAGGUUUUUCUGGCCCUUUCUCAGGGGAGGAAGUAUGUGAUACAGACAUGAAUAAGCAAGAAAAUACCCCAAUGACCAUUAUGGCAGCUCAGAUCAAACAGUUGGACAACCCGUUGAACAGUCUCACAGUUAGAAAUGCUAACAUAGAUCACCCAACAUUGCCCUCAGGGCCUCCCUAUGUAGAUGAUCCACCUGUGAAUUCUGUUAUGAAGGCUUUAGUAGAGGGGUGUAAGACUGGUGACUUUAAUUGUGAAGAUACUUUGGGGCUUUCUCCAGUCACAGUUACUGAUAUUCCUCCUGAACUGCAGUACCCUCAAGGGGGCCAAUGUUUUGAUCACCAUAUGAUCACUUUUAUGGUUCUGAAAGAUUUAAAACAAGCUGUAACACAGUAUUUCAUGCAGUCCCUGUUUUCUAGAGGUCUGUUACAAGGACUUGCACAAGAGUAGUGACUUAUUCCUUAUGACUGGGACAUGAUAACCAUAACUGUUUCUGAAUCUGGACAGUAUUUACAGUUUAAAACUUGGUGGAAGGAGGAGGCUGACUGGAUGAGUCACCAAAACCAGCAGAGUGGAAUUCCUAUAACAUCGAUACAGCUCACAGUGGCUGGGGGUUCCAAGUCAACUUCAGUAUGAUGAUACAGCUAUAGUGCAGACAAGGCUGUGCAGGCUUCAAGCCUGUGAAAAGGUUCAGGCUCCUGGAGAUAUCUCUAAAUCUUUCAUUAAGAUAAUGCAAUUGGGAAAUGAACCUUAUAUCAACUUUUUAGCUUGAUUAAAAACUGCAGUCAAUAAAGCUGUUGCCCAGCCAGAGCUCCAAGACAUGCUUUUCCAAACUUUAGCAUUUGAGAAUGCUGACUCUCUGAGUGUUGAAAGGCUUUACAACUUCUGAGAGCACAAAAUGCUCCCUUAGAAGAAUAAAUAUGGGCAUGUGCUGAUAUAGGAAUGGAAUCUUACAAGGCUAAUCUGCUUGUUGUUGCUUUAAAAGAAGGGUUCAAUCCAAACCAUGUUAAAUGCCAUAGUGUGGAAAGUUGGGCCAUAUGUGUCCAAAUGGAAACCUGGUUAUGUGCUACAUUGGGGUCGAGGUUUUGUUCAUGUCAUUACAGAACAACAAGAGAAACAGUGGCUACCGUCCCUCUGGAUUCAGCCUCGACGCGAGCAAGAAACCUUGCCAGCACUUUAAGGUGUCUGCCUUCACUAACUUUUUCUAUUGAUGUACCAAGGACCCUAAUUUCUUAGGCCUGGGUAAUUUCAUAAUAAAUAAACCCUGGAUCAACCUCCCCUAACUGCCUCCCCCAUAUCACCGUCCAUCAUCAGCAGGAAGUGGUUAGGAGCAGUCAGCGUCCUUUUUCCCUAAUUAGCAGUCAGAGCUCCUAUUAGGAGAGGGAGGAUUGAUACAGGGUUCCAUCAUUCUGGGCUGUAUAGGAAGCCCCAGGUAAGCUCAGAACCCGUCCUCUGGACUCUAUUGAAGUCAUGAACAACAAAGACCUCAAAUAACAGACUUUUUGUUCCUGGUUACAGUUAUACUGGUAUUGGCAAAGGUGAGAGAAUUUUACUUGUUGGGCUUAUAUCUGUUUCAGUUGGGCACCUGAUCUUUACCUUCCACCCAUUCCCAUUUUAAAAUCACACUGCUCCCCCAGACUUCAGCUUAGAAAGGGUCUGAGUUCAUCGGUACAGCCCUUUCCCCCCUAACAUUCUAUGCUUGUUGUUGUUGUUAACUUCAGGUGUUGGUUAAUACUUCCUAUGGAAGCAUCACUGACCCUACAGGUCGGCCCCAAGUGCGUAGUUGGGUGGUGAUUAGCACAAAGAGGGCGUUUCUCCCCUUAUGCCUAGUCUGGCUAGAGUAACACAAUCACAAAAACUGGAAUUCUUUCACAACCUGGGUUAGUUCUGCUGGUGUGAUUUUGUUAACUCAUGUGCCCUUUUGUUUCUUUGCUUAGCAGGAAGAAAAGCUCCUUAGCGAGGAGAAUGGCUGAAAUAAUCAACAACAAAUUUUAUCCCUUGCCUAUCCAGAAAUGUCUUUGAAUACACCAGAGGCGGGGAAAUGUAGAGGAUGUCAAGAGCUGGAGGGCCUCUGAGCCAGAUGAUUUGCAGCUUGGAAGCGGACCUUUGGGCAACUCAUCCAUAGGUGUUAAAGCUUAAUCAUCCUGUGGAGUCGGGGAGAGAGAGCCUGAGCCCAUGGCAAUCCUUAAGCAUACAGUCACCUGUCAUGUACCAUCUCAAUAAAUAGCUAUUGCGGAGAUUGCUUAGGGCUACCCUGCACUUAAGAUAAGGUCAGGCUGGACUGCAACUCCUAGGCUCAAGUGAUCCUCCUGCCUCAAUCUCCUGAAUACCUGGAGCUUCAGGAAUGUGCAGCCAGGUCUUACUAUCCCUUAUCCUUUAUAAAAUGACGAGAAUAGGCUGCUAGAAAGAAUGCAAAUGCUUCCUCUUCUCUCUCUGUCUCUCUUUUUUUGAGGGGCAUGUCCCAUCACUCUGCCUAAGGAAAGGUUGUCUUUUACUUUUUAAAGUUCUUGUUAAACAACCUCUUUUCUGAAAAUAAAAUAAAAUAACACCAGUAUUGUCCAUUUCCCUGCUCAGAGGAGUAUUAAUAGUCGUAGUAAUAAUAACAACAAUAAAAUCAACUAGCAUUUGCCCCCGGCCAAUGUGUCAUACUCACUCUGAGUAGGGGCCCUGAUACAUAAGACAGCUAAUUUUGCUUGUGAAUCCAAAGCAAAAUGAAUCCCUUAAAACUCAAAACAAUAUGAAUUAUUUUACCCUAAGCUUGAUCACAGCUGAAAGUGGGAGGCAGUCUCAUUAUUGUCCAUGCUAUAAAAGUGAAGUUGCUUUCUGUCAGGGGGUGGAGUGUGGCAGAGCUCUCUCUUACUUGGUCUACGCAGAAACUUUUUAUAUAUGUAUAUGUAUAUUCAGUUUAGAGAGAGAUUCUUCUUUCAAACAUAAUGUAGUGUCAACACUCCCACAUCUCCCUGAUUACGCGCAGUCUUGUGUUACCUGGUGGACUGAGAGAGGCUCCUCAGAAAACAUUUCUGCCUUACCUAGUGCUUACUAGGGCGCAGGCGCUCUCUGUCCGUGCAAGGACAAGGCUAUGAAGAGAUGCUCUCUGCUAGUUACCAAGAACCGAUUUCUGCAACCGGAAAUUUCUGCAACCCUGACAACUCUUGGGGGCCCUGAGAAGGCCCCUACUCCGCAGCAGGUGCAGAAGCGCCUGCCUCGGUGCCCGGAUGUGAAGCCCCCCGCACGGAAGCUUGGCGGAUCUCUGAGGACAGCGCAGGAAACUGUUCUGCGGACCUUUUGCUGUGAGUAAGCCCUAGUCAACAGUUUCCUCAUGACUUUAAUUAGGACGAAAUUGGAUGCAGCCUCUAUCCCAGACCUUCCCAGCACAUCCCUCCCCCUCCAUAGCAGGGGAAGACCUGAGUGGGGCCCGUAGGCCCCACGUACACCUGGAUCUUCUCCAGCUCCUGCCGGAGUCCUUGGUCUUGGGAGCCGGCAGUUUGCCUGUCCCGCCUGCUUCCGUCUGGGUGAUGUCAUCCUGUGGUCCCCAGCAGCUCUGAGCCAGGCUGAAUGCUAUUAUUAGCACGUCAGAGCUCAGGCCAAGGCGGCUUAUUACUUGCGGUACACUGUCAUGAACAGGCUUAAUUGCUCACGCCCUUUCCGUGGGCUUUCUGGGUGAGCAUUCAUAUUAUUAAAAUCGCCUCCAGCAACAGUUGUCUUGAGGCAGGAACUGAGGGUGAUGUUGGUGGGAGGAGCACGGAGGACCUUUUCUCUUCUCAGACACGGGUAGAAGAGCAAGAGGGUUGUGGAAUGCCUCUUACCAGCUAUCCUAGUAAGGUGUUAGCCCAUGUCUGGGCCGACAGAGCCCUGCCCAGCCCAGUGAGUCUGACUCAUCUGCUCAGUGUGUAGGACAUUGUGCCUGAGGUCACCCUAUGGGUCAGCACCGUGAGCAGAACCACAGGGCAGCUUCAUUCCACGAAACCUUUACUUUAGGGACCUCAUGGAGUUUCACCCCAUCUCUGUCUGGGUGCCUGUCUCUCUUUCCCAGCCUAUGGCUGAGAUUACACGUUCAGUGGAAACUUAACGGAUGCUCUCCGUUUUCUGUGGUUACAUGUAUACGUGAACAGAUAUCUUUCUUUUUGAUCUGUGCAUAAUGAACAGAUAUCUCUUAAUCUGAUCUGUGCAUAACUUUCCCCCAAACCAGUUAUAAUCUCCUGGGCCACUGUUGGGCAUCGGGUCUGCAGGAGACUAUGUUUAAUAGCCAUUAUCUAGUAACCCUUCCAAAAAAAAGUGUGUUGUGUCUGAAAUCGAGAAAGUUGGAAAGUUCACGGGUUUUUAGAAUUUAAACUCUUUGGUGACAUAGGUCCAUGGUGAGCUUCUGCUUAUGCUGGGCUGCCUUUGCCUUCAAGUAGGCUGCUGAGGUGCGGGACAUAUUGGGGGGAACUUACUCCUUUCAAUUGAGAACAGAAGUGGGCGCAACUUCAAAAAGUGGCCUAGAGGGAUGCAUUUUUAAUUGAAUGAGGAUUUCUCCUUCAAAGAACCUUGAGAAAUCUACUUUCCUUAAGCACAUAAAAAAAAAAUAACAUUUUGUCAGGACAGGAGAGGUCUGCAGCUGGCUGAGGCACCCAGCCACUCAGCCAGCCUGUGCCAGCGAAUCUGGGAGCAAGUGGCAAGAGAGUGGAUAAGUGCAGCCACUGAGGUAUCAGAGGUAGUUACUUCUGUUCAUGCAUAAACUAGUGCAUAUGCUGUGUAGCAUGUCUGGGCCAAGCCCUUGAAAGGCAGCCUUUCUGUGCAUCUGGAGCAGUGAUUUUCAACAGGUGUGCCAUCAAAAUUUUAAAAGAUCAUUAAUUUAUUUUUGGAAGAAGUUCAAAGUACAGUAAGUAAUUCUUUUUUUAUUUGGUCAACAUAAUUUAAGUAUUCCAUGGAAGUUUAACUAUAGGUAAGUGUGCUAUGAGAUAAAAAAAGAAGAAAAACGAAAAAAAGGUCAAAACCCCCACUGAUUUGGAGAGAUAAAGAGAAAAGAGAAACACAGGUAGACAAAAGAGUGGAGAUGGGAAGAAAAAGGAGAGAAAAGAGAAAUACAGAGAUGAAGCCCCGGAGGAGAAGGAGAAACCAGGAGAGUUGUGGUCAUUUCACCAAGUUCUGGGGAGGACGGAAAGUACUGGCUUCAUCCCACUGGGAUAAAGAAUGUCGUCUUACCUUCUUCAUCCCAUGAGGCUCUUUCUUUAGGUGCUACCCUCAGGGUCCUUGGAGUGGCUUCCUCCCAGCCUGCUCACCUUUUCACCUCCCAGGAAAUGCUGGUGACAUGCUCAGGACAUGCAUCAUUGCUUUCAUCUGUCAAGUUUUCUGUUCUGCCCUGUCAGUCUAGGGGAACAAGUUACCUUAAAAAAAAAAUUCAUUUUACCAGCAAAAGUUUGUCAUGGUGCUCAAAAAUCUUUAAAAGAUACUGAACCACGUCUUUGCAGGACACAUUUUAUUUUGCUUAUCUCUUACUGACUUCCUUGUGUCCUCCACUUCUCUGAGAACAGAAUCUAGGUUGUGUUAGUAACCUGAGUGCGCCUAAUUGCCAGUGCAGUUCUGGGCAGUCAGGAAAUAAUCCACAAGUGCUGUGGAAAAGAUUAAGCAUAUUGUUGGAAGGCCUUCAUUCUACACAUUGGCUUACAUUUUAACAUAUUUGAAGUAAGGGUGUGCUUUACAGUUGUUGUGUAUCUUUAAAGAUGUUAUUUUCUUUUUGAAAGCUAUUAAUACACUGGUGACAUCUAAGACCAAAUUACUACGAUAAUACUUGUAUAGAGAUUGAGUAAUCAGGGAAAAUUAGAUUGUGUUAUAU